GUAGGUGGCAAGCGUUGUCCGGAAUUAUUGGGCGUAAAGCGCGCGCAGGUGGUUCUUUAAGUCUGAUGUGAAAGCCCCCGGCUCAACCGGGGAGGGUCAUUGGAAACUGGGGAACUUGAGUGCAGGAGAGGAAAGUGGAAUUCCACGUGUAGCGGUGAAAUGCGUAGAUAUGUGGAGGAACACCAGUGGCGAAGGCGACUUUCUGGCCUGUAACUGACACUGAGGCGCGAAAGCGUGGGGAGCAAACAGGGAUUAGAUACCCUGGUAGUCCACGCCGUAAACGAUGAGUGCUAAGUGUUGGGGGGGUUUCCCGCCCCUCAGUGCUGCAGCUAACGCAUUAAGCACUCCGCCUGGAGAGUACGGUCGCAAGACUG
This 374-nucleotide ribosomal RNA is filed under the name uncultured organism. RNAcentral's name for it is "partial 16S ribosomal RNA". It matches the Rfam family "Bacterial small subunit ribosomal RNA", at positions 527 to 896 of the family's 1533-position model. The record is from RNAcentral.